RNAcentral lists this ribosomal RNA (301 nucleotides) under uncultured bacterium. RNAcentral describes it as "partial 16S ribosomal RNA". It matches the Rfam family "Bacterial small subunit ribosomal RNA", at positions 509 to 808 of the family's 1533-position model. The record is from RNAcentral.
CAGUAGCCGCGGUAAUACGGAGGGUGCAAGCGUUAAUCGGAAUUACUGGGCGUAAAGCGCACGCAGGCGGUCUGUCAAGUCAGAUGUGAAAUCCCCGGGCUUAACCUGGGAACUGCAUUUGAAACUGGCAGGCUAGAGUCUUGUAGAGGGGGGUAGAAUUCCAGGUGUAGCGGUGAAAUGCGUAGAGAUCUGGAGGAAUACCGGUGGCGAAGGCGGCCCCCUGGACAAAGACUGACGCUCAGGUGCGAAAGCGUGGGGAGCAAACAGGAUUAGAUACCCGCGUAGUCCCUGUCUCUUUACA